UGCUUGUCUGUAAAGUAUUUUAUUUCUCCUUCACUUAUGAAGCUUAGUUUGGCUGGAUAUGAAAUUCUGGGUUGAAAAUUCUUUUCUUUUCUUUUUUUUUUUUUGUUCUUUUUUUAUUUUUUAUUUUUUUAUUUUUUUAUUAUUAUACUUUAAGUUUUAGGGUACAUGUGCACAAUGUGCAGGUUAGUUACAUAGGUAUACAUGUGCCAUGCUGGUGCGCUGCACCCACUAACUCGUCAUCUAGCAUUAGGUAUAUCUCCCAAUGCUAUCUCUCCCCCCUCUCCCCAUGCCACAACAGUCCCCAGAGUGUGAUGUUCCCCCUCCUGUGUCCAUGUGUUUCCAUUGUUCAGUUCCCACCUAUGAGUGAGAAUAUGCGGUGUUUGUUUUUUUGUUCUUGCGAUAGUUUACUGAGAAUGAUGAUUUCCAAUUUCAUCCAUGUCCCUACAAAGGACAUGAACUCAUCAUUUUUUAUGGCUGCAUAGUAUUCCAUGGUGUAUAUGUACCACAUUUUCUUAAUCCAGUCUAUCAUUGUU
Molecule: long non-coding RNA, 533 nt
Filed under: Homo sapiens (human)
Lineage: Eukaryota; Metazoa; Chordata; Mammalia; Primates; Hominidae
Description: non-protein coding lnc-CTNNA3-2:1
Source: RNAcentral